AGAGUUUGAUCAUGGCUCAGAUUGAACGCUGGCGGCAGGCUUAACACAUGCAAGUCGAACGGUAACAGAACUAGCUUGCUAGUUGCUGACGAGUGGCGGACGGGUGAGUAACGCGUAGGAAUCUACCGAAUAGUGGGGGACAACAGUUGGAAACGGCUGCUAAUACCGCAUACGCCCUACGGGGGAAAGGAGGGGAUCUUCGGACCUUUCGCUAUUUGAUGAGCCUGCGUGAGAUUAGUUAGUUGGUGGGGUAAUGGCUCACCAAGGCGACGAUCUCUAGCUGGUCUGAGAGGAUGAUCAGCCACACUGGGACUGAGACACGGCCCAGACUCCUACGGGAGGCAGCAGUGGGGAAUAUUGCACAAUGGGGGAAACCCUGAUGCAGCCAUGCCGCGUGUGUGAAGAAGGCCUUCGGGUUGUAAAGCACUUUCAGUUGUGAGGAAAGGUUAAGGGUUAAUA
RNAcentral lists this ribosomal RNA (459 nucleotides) under uncultured bacterium. RNAcentral describes it as "bacterial SSU rRNA". It matches the Rfam family "Bacterial small subunit ribosomal RNA", at positions 8 to 466 of the family's 1533-position model. The record is from RNAcentral.